GGUGGUGUGGAUUUGUGGUUAAGAGCCUGCCCUUGAGAGCAAGACAGCCUGGGUUCAAAUCCCAGCUCCACCC
Molecule: transfer RNA, 73 nt
Filed under: Felis catus (domestic cat)
Lineage: Eukaryota; Metazoa; Chordata; Mammalia; Carnivora; Felidae
Rfam family: tRNA
About the family: Transfer RNA (tRNA) molecules are approximately 80 nucleotides in length. Their secondary structure includes four short double-helical elements and three loops (D, anti-codon, and T loops). Further hydrogen bonds mediate the characteristic L-shaped molecular structure. tRNAs have two regions of fundamental functional importance: the anti-codon, which is responsible for specific mRNA codon recognition, and the 3' end, to which the tRNAs corresponding amino acid is attached (by aminoacyl-tRNA synthetases). tRNAs cope with the degeneracy of the genetic code in two manners: having more than one tRNA (with a specific anti-codon) for a particular amino acid; and 'wobble' base-pairing, i.e. permitting non-standard base-pairing at the 3rd anti-codon position.
Source: Rfam by way of RNAcentral